RNAcentral lists this ribosomal RNA (403 nucleotides) under bacterium. RNAcentral's name for it is "partial 16S ribosomal RNA". It matches the Rfam family "Bacterial small subunit ribosomal RNA", at positions 355 to 776 of the family's 1533-position model. The record is from RNAcentral.
UGGGGAAUAUUGCACAAUGGGGGAAACCCUGAUGCAGCGACGCCGCGUGAACGAAGAAGGUAUUCGUAUCGUAAAGUUCUGUCCUAUGGGAAGAUAAUGACAGUACCAUAGAAGAAAGCUCCGGCUAAAUACGUGCCAGCAGCCGCGGUAAUACGUAUGGAGCGAGCGUUGUCCGGAAUUAUUGGGCGUAAAGGGUACGCAGGCGGUUUAAUAAGUCGAAUGUUAAAGAUCGGGGCUCAACCCCGCAAAGCAUUGGAAACUGAUAAACUUGAGUAGUGGAGAGGAAAGUGGAAUUCCUAGUGUAGUGGUGAAAUACGUAGAUAUUGGGAGGAAUACCAGUAGCGAAGGCGACUUUCUGGACACAAACUGACGCUGAGGUACGAAAGCGUGGGGAGCAAACAGG